GUCGAACGAGUUCUCGUUGAUGAUCGGUGCUUGCACCGAGAUUCAACAUGGAACGAGUGGCGGACGGGUGAGUAACACGUGGGUAACCUGCCCUUAAGUGGGGGAUAACAUUUGGAAACAGAUGCUAAUACCGCAUAGAUCCAAGAACCGCAUGGUUCUUGGCUGAAAGAUGGCGUAAGCUAUCGCUUUUGGAUGGACCCGCGGCGUAUUAGCUAGUUGGUGAGGUAAUGGCUCACCAAGGCGAUGAUAUGUAGCCGAACUGAGAGGUUGAUCGGCCACAUUGGGACUGAGACACGGCCCAAACUCCUACGGGAGGCAGCAGUAGGGAAUCUUCCACAAUGGACGCAAGUCUGAUGGAGCAACGCCGCGUGAGUGAAGAAGGCUUUCGGGUCGUAAAACUCUGUUGUUGGAGAAGAAUGGUCGGCAGAGUAACUGUUGUCGGCGUGACGGUAUCCAACCAGAAAGCCACGGCUAACUACGUGCCAGCAGCCGCGGUAAUACGUAGGUGGCAAGCGUUAUCCGGAUUUAUUGGGCGUAAAGCGAGCGCAGGCGGUUUUUUAAGUCUGAUGUGAAAGCCCUCGGCUUAACCGAGGAAGCGCAUCGGAAACUGGCAAACUUGAGUGCAGAAGAGGACAGUGGAACUCCAUGUGUAGCGGUGAAAUGCGUACAUAUAUGGAAGAACACCAGUGGCGAAUGCGGCUGUCUGGUCUGUAACUGACGCUGAGGCUCGAAAGCAUGGGUAGCGAACAGGAUUAGAUACCCUGGUAGU
Molecule: ribosomal RNA, 769 nt
Filed under: uncultured bacterium
Lineage: Bacteria
Description: bacterial SSU rRNA
Rfam family: Bacterial small subunit ribosomal RNA
Source: RNAcentral